Molecule: RNA transcript, 3349 nt
Organism: Castor canadensis (American beaver)
Lineage: Eukaryota; Metazoa; Chordata; Mammalia; Rodentia; Castoridae
Gene: Trabd
Gene name: TraB domain containing
Source: RefSeq, a predicted model, not a curated record
CGCCCGGCCCCGCCCGGCCCGCCCCGUUCGCCGGGCGACGUGCGCAUGGAGGCCGGCUGAGGAGCGCCGCCGCCUCGCUUGGCAUCUUUCACAAAUCAGGAAGCUGUUGCCCAGCCAUGGAGGGGAAGGAACAGACACCUCAGGAGGCUGACAUGGAACCCGUCGUGACCUCAGGGGCUUCGGAGGCAGUGCCCAGGGUGCUUUCUGGAAAUCCCCAGAACCUGUCCGAUGUAGAUGCCUUCAACCUGCUCCUGGAGAUGAAGCUAAAGCGGCGGCGUGAGCGGCCUAACCUGCCGCGGACCGUGACCCAGCUGGUAGCUGAAGAUGGGAGCAGGGUGUAUGUAGUAGGCACUGCCCAUUUCAGUGAUGACAGCAAGCGGGAUGUUGCGAAGACUAUUCGGGAGGUGCAGCCUGAUGUGGUGGUCGUGGAGCUCUGCCAGUACCGUGUGUCCAUGCUGAAGAUGGAUGAGAGGACGCUGCUGCGCGAGGCCAAGGAGGUCAGCCUGGAGAAGUUGCAGCAAGCUGUGAGGCAGAACGGGCUCAUGUCUGGGCUUAUGCAGAUGCUACUGCUCAAGGUGUCCGCCCACAUCACCGAGCAGCUGGGCAUGGCUCCUGGCGGCGAGUUCAGGGAGGCCUUCAAGGAGGCCAGCAAGGUGCCAUUCUGCAAGUUCCACCUGGGUGACCGACCUAUCCCAGUCACCUUCAAGAGGGCCAUUGCUGCACUGUCUUUCUGGCAGAAAGUCAAGCUAGCCUGGGGCCUGUGCUUCCUGUCAGACCCAAUCAGCAAGGACGACGUGGAGCGCUGCAAGCAGAAGGACCUGCUAGAACAGAUGAUGGCAGAGAUGAUUGGAGAGUUUCCCGAUCUGCAUCGCACCAUCGUCUCGGAGCGAGAUGUCUACCUGACUUACAUGCUGCGCCAAGCUGCCCGGCGCCUUGAGCUGCCCCGUGCCUCUGAUGCUGAGCCCAGGAAGUGUGUCCCCUCCGUGGUCGUGGGUGUUGUGGGCAUGGGCCACGUGCCUGGCAUCGAGAAGAACUGGAGAACUGACCUCAAUAUCCAGGAGAUCAUGACCGUACCCCCGCCGUCCAUCUCAGGCAGAGUGUCCCGGCUGGCUGUGAAGGCUGUUUUCUUCGGACUGCUGGGCUACGGCCUGUACUGGAUGGGUCGGCGAACCGAAGCAUGACUGUCUGCCUUGCCCUGGCUCUUGCUGUCCUCCUCUUCCCUAUGGCCUGGGUCAGCUCAAUGGUUCAGCAGCGACAGCCGGGAAGGACUGUUCUCAGAUCUGGGUGGAAGACCCCACGGCCCACGGUGGCACAUACACCAUCCCGCCUGAAGGGGCCAGCAGCCCAUCAAUGCACUGCGUUGCCCUGCAGCCUGGGAUGGUGACCUGAGAGGAGCUUUGUGCCCAAGUCUAGCAGGAAUAAGGAACCAAUGCUCAGGUUGGCAGGAGGCAGGGAAAGGCUGGGCUCUGCCAGUGGGAUAUUUAGUAAGGGGACUAUGAAAUGGGGGGGUAGAUACACAGGGUACAGUGUCAUUGCAGAGUGAGUGACUCACAUCACAUUGGACAACACUGAGGCUUGGAUGCUUCUGUGGAUCUUCACCCUAUUUCUGAAAAAUCUGAAUUUGUAUCCAUGUUUGCAUUACAUUAUAGGCACAAAAACAGUAAGGUAUGCUUUUUUCAAAUAAAUAUAAGGUACCUUGGGGAGCAUGGAUGUGGGCACACACGUGAGUCGGCCAAGGCUCCUGACUGCCUCUUGUCCUGCCAGGUUCUCUGUGCCACGCAGGAGGAUGGUGGCUGGACUGUGAUCUGAUCCGGAGUCAAGACUGGGACAGGGAAAGGCAGCUGGACUUAGAGAGGUCCUGGCACAAGUGUAAACAGGUCUUUGGAGACUUGGGAAGGUAGGAGGGUUGGGCCGCCUAUGGGACAUGGACAGGCUUUGCCCUGGUGCUGCCACUUUCAUCCCAUAGGGACCAUAAGGGGGCAGGUGGGGCCUCUAGAGGAGAUACAACAAUAACAGGGAGACAUGGCUUGGGGCUAUGGAGGUGCCAGCAAGCCAGGUGUCUACUGGCUGUGGCUGGAGCACAUCUCAGACAUGAGUUCCCAGCUGGGCCUGCAGACGGAGUUGGCUGUGGGCCUGUGGGACAUGGACAACCUUAUACUUUGGGCCCAGUAUGACAACAUCCAUGUUGGCAAGGAGGACCAGUUCUACCUUGGGCCAGUACUCAAGAAAUGUGGGUGAGCAUCUAGAGGACCUGAGUUCACCUGGCCACUUCCCCUUCCCCUAAGAGUCUUCUGUUUUGCUGAGAAACUCCCACAGACUGGGAGUAGGGGGCUUAUAGAGGGUCAGAUGAGGGCCCCAGAGGCCCAGCCUGCAUUAUGGGAAGAGCUGCUGCUACCUAAGGGCUGGCCCUGGGUAUCUCAGAUGGUGAGGCACUCUGGGCAGCUCAGAUCUGGGAGAUCCCUGAGGGAACAGAGAGGGGGGACUACUAAACCCACUGCCCUUACCAUGCAGGGGAUGUAUUCCAGAGCUCAGGCCACACUGACAGCCAGGAGGGCAGCACCUUCAGCAUGCUGGACCAAGAUCAUGAUGACUGCACACUCUGUUGGGAGAGUUCUGGUAGCUUUGCCAGCUGUAGCCAAGAUCGCUCAGGCACUGGCUGAUGGUAUAGCAACUGCGGCCAGGCUGACCUCAACAGGCCUUAGUCAGGGGAUGCAGGGCCUUCCUUGGGUCCUCACUGGGCCACGGGAGGUGAUGAGCAGGCCAUGCACCCUAGUACACUGAGCAUUUGCAUGGCUUGGACCCACAAGGCCUAGGCACUACACCCCCUGGCAGUUGGGGAGCCUUAGCACAUUAAACAUUCAAGCCCACUGUCCUCUGCAUCUUUUGUGUCAACACAGGGGAGGGGCAAUCAGUUUCUUGGAAGAGUCUAUGCAGCUCAAUAGUGUGGUCAAGAGAAAGUCACUAUGAAUGUGUUGGGCUGCUGUCCUGUCUGCUGCCCUUCUAGAACCUUUAGCACCCACUGGUGUCCCUCAGGCUAUGAGCUUGGUGAGGUAGGCAAGUCACAAACCUGACAUGUACAGACCCUCAAUAACCCAAUCCCACCUGAUUCCAGAGUUCAGUUGAGCCAGGGAGCCAGACUGGAGCCAGGAAUAUGAGUCAGGAGGGCCCAAGGCCUGGAAAGAGGGAAGCUCUGGUCAGGUCUCCAAGGGCAGUUAGAGGAGAACACAGGAAACAGAUGUGGUGGCUCCACAGCAGGCUGAGUGGAGAAGACCCCAGACAGGCCCCAGUGUGGGUCCUCAGAGGAAAAUGUUGCUGUCAGGUGCAGGAGAGGGCUCCCACCUAGGUACCA